This 3310-nucleotide unclassified non-coding RNA is filed under the name Hevea brasiliensis (rubber tree). The record is from RNAcentral. Lineage: Eukaryota; Viridiplantae; Streptophyta; Magnoliopsida; Malpighiales; Euphorbiaceae.
CUCCAGGAGCAUAAAAAAACAUGGGAUGUUUGUAUAAAACUGUUCCUGCGUAUACUUUAUAUAGAGCAAUAAGUACACACAUUUUUUAUUUCAAGAACACACAUUUUUCUUGCUAACAAGGGGGAAAAAAGCCUGACCCACUAAGCACGCCAUUCAGAUUCCAUCCUUACACUAACGUCUUAUAGUUACAAAAAAGUUAAUGUUCUCUAUGGAUUUUCCACAACUACCAAACCCUUAACACAACUCACCUCUUCUCACCACAUAAAUAUCUAGCAGCUUGUAGAGCAAAAUAUGUUAAGAUGAUGUCAGCACCAGCCCGACGGAGACACAUCAACGACUCCAUCAUCACUCUUUCUUCAUCAAUCAUGUUGAGAACUCCGCCAGCCUUAAUCAUCGAGUAUUCACCUGACACCUGGAUUUGUAAAAUUUGAAGAGAAUACCUUACAGAAAAGAAUUAACAUAACAGGAAAAGCAUGUAGGAUGUAGAGAACAGUAUAUGAAAGGGUUACUUGGUAAGAAAAGAAAUAGCACAACAAACAAAUGUUCGUGAAGUAUAUACACCAAACCCCAUCUUUUUUAUUCUACCUCACAGUGGAAGAGUUAUUGUUUUGCCUAUUAACUGAAAUUUAAUUAAAUUCUAAAGCAAUCUUCCUAUUCAUAUUCAUAAAAGGCCAUCUUCCUAUUGAAAAUAAAUGCAGACACUUGACAUAGGCAAGGGACAAGCAGUCAACAAUGUUGAGCUUGGCGAAUAACCAGGAACAUGGCGACAUUUGCAAACUUGUCUUUCUACCUAUUUCUGACUAAUAAUCAACUACACUCAAGCAUACCUUAAUCCCAAACUAGUUAGGGUAAGCCACACAGUUUCUUUUCCUCAUUUAGCUUUGUUUACGUAUAAAAUGCACAUGUGCAGAAGGUACUAAGCCAUACCCCAUAACUAGAAAAUAGAAAUUUUAUAAUGUGCCUGAGGCAUACAAAAUCAACUGCUAUUCAAAUUUCUUAUUUUUACAGGCAGACAUAAACAGUGGCAUGAGCUUCACAGUUCAACAGAAAUUUAAGACCUGCAGGGAAGACUGAAUCAAUCAUUUCUGCAGGGAGAAAUUUAAGGCCUCAGAUAAGAUAGAAAGCAAAACAAAAAUAAAAAAUAAAAAACACACUAGAAAAGACAAAUUUGAUAGACACAUCUAACCCAAAUAAGUCUACCCAGGUUAAGUAAACCCUUCACUAGCAUUAUAUUAAUACAAAUUCCCGUCUUGUUCUUAGAACACAACAAAUUCUAAAGCAUUGAGAAGUCUCAAACGAUUUACAAAUACUUAUAUCAGGGAUUACAUUUAACCAAUCCCAUUACACGAUCAGGUAAUUCACUUUCAAUUGUUGAAGUCCACGUGAUUGAAGGCAAGUUGGGCAGUUUUCAGCUUCUUGAUCUCUUCAUGAGCAAUUUGUGUCAUAACUCGCGAGUCCCAGCAACUCUGGACCUUCUAGUCGAGGAUUAUUCUCAAAGUUGUUCAAAGGUAUAUGCUCAAAUGGCCCGCUGGUGGGAAUUGUUCCACAUAAAUCAUUGUUUGAGACAUCCCUGGAAAAAGAUGCCAAACUUAGAAUGAAGACAAUUCAACAAAAUAAAUGGUGAAUGUAUGUUCAUUUAGAAAAUUUUUUUUCUUUAAGAAAGGUGGGGGGAGGGGACAAAGUAAACACUUAGUUACUUACACAACUUUGAGGCUUGAAAUACCUACAAGUUCCCUUGGGAUUGGUCCAGUUAGUCGAUUGUCAUUAAGACGUCUGUCAACAGAAAGUUAAUGAAUGGGCUAGAAGCCAUAUAUUGCACUAUGACAGGAACUAGUUACAAGAGGUGCCCCAUGCAAGGCAGACAUUAACUUAAAUAUGUUAUUGUAACAAACUUUUAAUCAACGUUCAACUUCAGUGACAGCCAACUCAACAGGAAAGAGAAGUAGCUUAUCAACCAUACCAAGCAAAAGUAAAUUCACUUGGCACCAUAAUUUGAGGACCUUGUAUGAUUAUGCUAUUGACACCAUUUUUAAUUCUCCAAAUUAACAAGUGAAUUUAGGAAGCAAAUUCACUGAAUUUUCCAAACCAAUAGGGAAAAAUGCAUUAAAGUUAGAGUAGCAUCAACUCACAAAAAGACAAGGGACUUCAAUUUCCCCAGAGAAGUAGGAAUGAUCCCUGAGAUGUUGUUGUUGUACAAAUCCAAGCUCACGAGGUUCCUCAAGUUACCAAGCUCACUAGGGAUGCUUCCUUGAAUAUUGUUUUUAUAGAGUUCCAGAUAUUGCAGGUGUUCUAGCUUCCCAAGUUCACGUACUAGAUGUCCAGAUAAGUUUGAGUUCCCUAAAUCCCUGUAGAAAAUAUGAGAUCGAAGAAAUGUGACCACAUAACACAAAUGGUCUUUUCAAAUAAAGAAGGUGAAACGCCAUAAUAGGCACAAGAAGAAUACAAAUUCUAUAUUAGCCUACCAAGUAGUUGAAUGGCUGUCUAAAUUCGAUAAACCACAAGCUAUGGCCAGAUAAAGCAAUAUGUUUUAAAAGCACUAAUGCCAGUUUGUGGUAUAAAAUAAUACUAGUAAUAAUAAAUUAUAAAGUGGGAUAAGAUGAUUUUGGUUGCAAGUCUACGAUUCAAGAGCACAUAUGGAUAUAAGCUAAUCAUCCCAUCAACCCAAUUCCCCCAACUACAGCAAAUAAAAACUAAGCAAAUAGUUGCUAGACUCGCUGCUGCAUUAAUUCUGAACGAACUCGGGAAUUUUGAUUUCAAACAGAAUCCUAUAAGAGGGAAAAUUGACGUUAAGUUUUCUAGCAACCCAAUUGAAUCAAACACUUCAAACAUGUGCAAAAAAGGCUAAUUAGUAGAGGCAAAAAACAGAAAAUCAAAAAAGGAAAGAGCAAAAAAUUCAAAUACAAGAAGCAAUCAGGCUCAAACUAAAGCACCAAACCACCUAUUCCGAGCACAGUGGAUCCAAAUCAAAGCUCAAAGGGGCGUGCAUAUAGAUAAAAAGAGAGGAAGGAGUGGAGUUGAAGUACACUCGAGUAACACGAUUAUCCUGGUUGCAGGUGAUGUGGAACCAAGUACAGGGGUUGACAAGGGUCGGAUCCCAGCUCUGGAGGACAUUAUCCGGAUCCGACAAGCUCUUCCUGAGGGUGUAAAGAGCGUCUCCUUCGGAGUUACCAUUCGCUACGGAAACUAGGGUUACAGUUAGUGUCACAGUCAGAGAAGCUGAGAGAGUCCACGGCCAGGACGCUGCCGCCAUGGUUGACGACUGAAUUGAGGGAGUCAGUGGGGUGCGGUGCCUUCUAGGGUUGGGUCCGUU